This 480-nucleotide ribosomal RNA is filed under the name uncultured bacterium. RNAcentral describes it as "partial 16S ribosomal RNA". It matches the Rfam family "Bacterial small subunit ribosomal RNA", at positions 28 to 523 of the family's 1533-position model. The record is from RNAcentral.
GACGAACGCUGGCGGCGUGCCUAACACAUGCAAGUCGAACGGAGAUAUGAUUUCGGUUGUAUCUUAGUGGCGAACGGGUGAGUAACGCGUGAACAACCUGACUCUAAGAGGGGGAUAACACUCGGAAACGGGUGCUACUACCGCAUAAGACCACGACCCGGCAUCGGGAUGAGGUCAAAGGAGCAAUCCGCUGAGAGAGGGGUUCGCGUCCCAUUAGAUAGAUGGCGGGGUAACGGCCACCAUGUCAACGAUGGGUAGCCGAGCUGAGAGGCUGAUCGGCCACACUGGACCUGAGACACGGUCCAGACUCCUACGGGAGGCAGCAGUGGGGAAUAUUGGGCAAUGGGCGCAAGCCUGACCUAGCAACGCAGCGUGAGGGAAGAAGGCUUUCGGGUUGUAAACCUCUGUCCUUGGUGACGAAACAAAUGACGGUAGCCAAGGAGGAAGCCCCGGCUAACUACGUGCCAGCAGCCGCCGCCG